This 253-nucleotide ribosomal RNA is filed under the name uncultured bacterium. RNAcentral describes it as "partial 16S ribosomal RNA". It matches the Rfam family "Bacterial small subunit ribosomal RNA", at positions 524 to 776 of the family's 1533-position model. The record is from RNAcentral.
UACGAAGGGGACUAGCGUUGUUCGGAAUCACUGGGCGUAAAGCGCACGUAGGCGGAUGUGUCAGUCAGGGGUGAAAUCCCGGGGCUCAACCUCGGAACUGCCUUUGAUACAGCACGUCUCGAGUCCGGAAGAGGUGGGUGGAAUUCCUAGUGUAGAGGUGAAAUUCGUAGAUAUUAGGAAGAACACCGGUGGCGAAGGCGACCCACUGGUCCGGUACUGACGCUGAGGUGCGAAAGCGUGGGGAGCAAACAGG